This 183-nucleotide non-coding RNA is filed under the name Sheuella sp. RNAcentral describes it as "6S RNA". It matches the Rfam family "6S / SsrS RNA". Rfam says of the family: E. coli 6S RNA was the first non coding RNA to be sequenced, but its function was unknown until recently. It consists of 184 nucleotides that fold into an extended hairpin structure with a large single-stranded internal bulge. Lineage: Bacteria; Pseudomonadati; Pseudomonadota; Betaproteobacteria; Burkholderiales; Alcaligenaceae. The record is from RNAcentral.
UUGUCCCUGCUGUGUUCGCGAGAGGUCAAAUAUUCUCAGAACCAAUGCUUAUGGCAUACAUAGGCUGUGGGAUAGCAUGACGGGAGUGCGUGUCUCUAGUAGAUGCGCUCAAAGUCUGCAGAUCGCGGCCAACUUGAACUUACGGUUCGAGAUGCCGGCCUUAACGGCACGAGCGGGGCAUUU